Non-coding RNA from Potamilus streckersoni, 66 nucleotides. The record is from the annotation of a GenBank genome assembly. Lineage: Eukaryota; Metazoa; Mollusca; Bivalvia; Unionida; Unionidae.
GGUGGCCUAGUGGUUAGAGCGUCCGCCCCGAUUGCGGGAGGUCGCGGUUUCGAUCCCCAACCGACA